This 645-nucleotide ribosomal RNA is filed under the name uncultured bacterium. Its description in RNAcentral is "bacterial SSU rRNA". It matches the Rfam family "Bacterial small subunit ribosomal RNA", at positions 201 to 842 of the family's 1533-position model. The record is from RNAcentral.
CAAAGGGGGCGACCCCGGUCAUGGAUGGGCAUGCGGCGCAUUAGGUAGUUGGUGGGGCAACGGCCCACCAAGCCGACGAUGCGUAGGGGUUCUGAGAGGAAGGUCCCCCACAUUGGAACUGAGACACGGUCCAGACUCCUACGGGAGGCAGCAGUGAGGAAUAUUGGUCAAUGGCCGGAAGGCUGAACCAGCCAAGUCGCGUGAGGGAAUAAGGCCCUACGGGUCGUAAACCUCUUUUGCCAGGGAGCAAUGCCGUCCACGUGUGGACGGAAGGAGAGUACCUGGAGAAAAAGCAUCGGCUAACUCCGUGCCAGCAGCCGCGGUAAUACGGAGGAUGCGAGCGUUAUCCGGAUUUAUUGGGUUUAAAGGGUGCGUAGGCGGCCUGCCAAGUCAGCGGUAAAAUUGCGGGGCUCAACCCCGUACAGCCGUUGAAACUGCCGGGCUCGAGUGGGCGAGAAGUAUGCGGAAUGCGUGGUGUAGCGGUGAAAUGCAUAGAUAUCACGCAGAACCCCGAUUGCGAAGGCAGCAUACCGGCGCCCGACUGACGCUGAGGCACGAAAGUGCGGGGAUCAAACAGGAUUAGAUACCCUGGUAGUCCGCACAGUAAACGAUGAAUGCUAGCUGUCCGGGGGGAUUGACCCCUGG